AGCCGACGCACUUGCGGUCUUUCUCCUCCCAGUGCCGCGCGUUGGCUGUUCCCCUCUGGAGGUUCUAAUACCUUCACACCUGCAGGGCCCAAGCUUCGCUUGUGGCCCUCUUUU
RNAcentral lists this small RNA (114 nucleotides) under Shinella sp. WSC3-e. RNAcentral's name for it is "ar15". It matches the Rfam family "Alphaproteobacterial ar15". The record is from RNAcentral. Lineage: Bacteria; Pseudomonadati; Pseudomonadota; Alphaproteobacteria; Hyphomicrobiales; Rhizobiaceae.